RNAcentral lists this transfer RNA (1783 nucleotides) under Homo sapiens (human). RNAcentral describes it as "HSALNT0388361". The stretch from base 521 to 592 matches the Rfam family "tRNA". The record is from RNAcentral. Lineage: Eukaryota; Metazoa; Chordata; Mammalia; Primates; Hominidae.
GCAUUUCUCUGAGGCACCAGCUGACGAGAUGUGGGCGCAUGUACGUAGGAAUUAAAUUCAUCCUCUGGAUAAAUAAUAGAGAGGCAAGUUGCGUUUAGGCGCAUUUGGCUUAAGGCCCAAUUCCUUAACUGGAAUCACAUUGAGCUCGUUGAGCUCACUCUACAGAGAAGCCAUUUUUAUGUGUCUAGGCCUUUUUUUUUGUUUUCUGGAGAUGAUAAAUCAUGGUGUCGCUGCAGUUCUCGCCCCCUGGACAAAUCUUAGACGUAAUCCCAGCUCUGCCGGUGACUCAGCUUCCCUGGAUCUUGGUUUCCUCGUCUGUAGACUGGGCAUAACCCUACAGGUUCAUGUGGGGUGGGUGGCGCGCGCUAGCGGUGAAGGUCACUCACAAUUGCGCGCUGGGCAGACGACGGCAGCCAUUACUUUUACCUCGAUCGCUGUUUUCCUGGAUCCGCACGGGUCCAACCCGACUCAUCCCAACCAACCUGAGGUAUGAAAACCAGGAAAGAGAGCUAGCACCGGAGCGUUGGUGGUAUAGUGGUAAGCAUAGCUGCCUUCCAAGCAGUUGACCCGGGUUCGAUUCCCGGCCAACGCAAGUCGUUUUGGGUGUUUUUUCCCCCCCCCGCCUUUUCCUUUUCGUGUUUUCUGGGCCCCAGCAUCGUUGAGGGUUUUCGUGAGGUUUUCCUGAGGAAACUUCCGCUCCGAAAGGACCCACUUUCCGCUACACCCGCGACCACGGCUGGACCACCGCGCUCCUGACGGAUGCGCCCUGCAAGCCCCUCCAGGCGAGAGCAGCGCGUCGGAAUCUCGGCCCGGGGUUGCCUACUGUUCCCGGAUCGCAGUGCGAAUCCACAAAAAGCAGGGAGGCGAAAGGAAACAAAAGCCCGGGCUCUGCACCCUGGACGGCUGGGGGCCAAAGCUACUUGCCCAGGUUCAAGCAGAGACUGGAAAUGCGCACUUCCGUCAAGGAGGGAGCAAGCUAGGCCAAGUCUGAGCGCUAAUGAGCAUACUGAGCAGAGCAGAUAAUGGCCACUUUAGGUACACGUUUGAACUCUAAGUUGCUUGAAGUAAAAUGGAAACUUAGAAUGCGAGCUGGAGAGGAAGGCCAAACUCUCCUCCCCUCCUCCUUUCCCUCUUUUUUAUAGCUCCAUCCCAGGGACCAGGACGGAUUUAAUGAAAGCAAAAAGAUAGAAGUUUCAAAACUGCUAGUACUCUCCCCGUCGGGGAAUCGAACCCCGGUCUCCCGCGUGACAGGCGGGGAUACUCACCACUAUACUAACGAGGAGGGACCUGUAGAGACCUUUCUCCGAAUCCUUGAUCUGAGACUUUACACUCUGCGUGCUGACAGCAGGGUUCCUAGGGGUUCUGUUCUUCCAACCACUGAUAAACGCUGACCAGAAACCGUAGGUGUAUUUCAGGCACCAAUCGUCAGAUGGAGUGACCGAAAGAGACAGAGUGCCUUCAGGACUGCAGAGAACCAAGUUUUGACAGUUCCUGGGCUCUCCCGAACACUGUCAUCCACAACUAUAGAUUGACGCGUGUCAAUCAAAGCGAAACCAGGCUGUGGUGGCCGAGUUGAGACACCAGGAAGGAAGUCAGGAAGCAGAAAGGGAGGGACCUGCCCAAGUCUGGGCGUGCCUCGUCUCUUCCUGACAUGCCAGGCGGGUCUGGGGAUUGAGAUGCUUUCUGCUACCGCGGUGCCACAAAAGAGCUUACUGUACAUUGAUGACUUACAGUCAAGCCUCCUGCAGCGCUGGUCAGGUAACCUAUUCCUUGAAGACACUCU